This 839-nucleotide ribosomal RNA is filed under the name Wolbachia pipientis. RNAcentral describes it as "bacterial SSU rRNA". It matches the Rfam family "Bacterial small subunit ribosomal RNA", at positions 102 to 979 of the family's 1533-position model. The record is from RNAcentral. Lineage: Bacteria; Pseudomonadati; Pseudomonadota; Alphaproteobacteria; Rickettsiales; Anaplasmataceae.
ACGGGUGAGUAAUGUAUAGGAAUCUACCUAGUAGUACGGAAUAAUUGUUGGAAACGACAACUAAUACCGUAUACGCCCUACGGGGGAAAAAUUUAUUGCUAUUAGAUGAGCCUAUAUUAGAUUAGCUAGUUGGUGGGGUAAUAGCCUACCAAGGUAAUGAUCUAUAGCUGAUCUGAGAGGAUGAUCAGCCACACUGGAACUGAGAUACGGUCCAGACUCCUACGGGAGGCAGCAGUGGGGAAUAUUGGACAAUGGGCGAAAGCCUGAUCCAGCCAUGCCGCAUGAGUGAAGAAGGCCUUUGGGUUGUAAAGCUCUUUUAGUGAGGAAGAUAAUGACGGUACUCACAGAAGAAGUCCUGGCUAACUCCGUGCCAGCAGCCGCGGUAAUACGGAGAGGGCUAGCGUUAUUCGGAAUUAUUGGGCGUAAAGGGCGCGUAGGCUGGUUAAUAAGUUAAAAGUGAAAUCCCGAGGCUUAACCUUGGAAUUGCUUUUAAAACUAUUAAUCUAGAGAUUGAAAGAGGAUAGGGGAAUUCCUGAUGUAGAGGUAAAAUUCGUAAAUAUUAGGAGGAACACCAGUGGCGAAGGCGUCUAUCUGGUUCAAAUCUGACGCUGAAGCGCGAAGGCGUGGGGAGCAAACAGGAUUAGAUACCCUGGUAGUCCACGCUGUAAACGAUGAAUGUUAAAUAUGGGGAGUUUACUUUCUGUAUUACAGCUAACGCGUUAAACAUUCCGCCUGGGGACUACGGUCGCAAGAUUAAAACUCAAAGGAAUUGACGGGGACCCGCACAAGCGGUGGAGCAUGUGGUUUAAUUCGAUGCAACGCGAAAAACAAAGUCACUU